Molecule: ribosomal RNA, 479 nt
Filed under: uncultured bacterium
Lineage: Bacteria
Description: partial 16S ribosomal RNA
Rfam family: Bacterial small subunit ribosomal RNA
Source: RNAcentral
ACGAACGCUGGCGGCGUGCUUAACACAUGCAAGUCGAACGAUGAAGAAAAGAAUUGAAGCUUCGGCAGAAAUUCAUUUCGGAUUAGUGGCAGACGGGUGAGUAACGCGUGAGCAACCUACCUCUUACAAAGGGAUAGCCUCGGGAAACCGGGAUUAAUACCAUAUAACAUUGCGACGAAGCAUUUCGAUGCAAUCAAAGCUACGGCGGUAAGAGAUGGGCUCGCGUCCCAUUAACCAGAUGGUGAGGUAACGGCUCACCAUAGUAACGAUGGGUAACCGGCCUGAGAGGGUGAACGGUCACACUGGAACUGAGACACGGUCCAGACUCCUACGGGAGGCAGCAGUGGGGAAUAUUGCACAAUGGAGGGAACUCUGAUGCAGCGACGCCGCGUGAGUGAUGAAGGAAUUCGUUUCGUAAAACUCUGUUCUAUGGGAAGAAAAGGACUGUACCAUAGGAGAAAGCUCCGGCUAAAUACGUG